CCUACGGGAGGCAGCAGUGAGGAAUAUUGGUCAAUGGCCGCAAGGCUGAACCAGCCAAGUCGCGUGAGGGAUGACGGCCCUACGGGUUGUAAACCUCUUUUGUCAGGGAGCAAAGGGCGCCACGCGUGCCGCUUUGCGAGUACCCGAAGAAAAAGCAUCGGCUAACUCCGUGCCAGCAGCCGCGGUAAUACGGAGGAUGCGAGCGUUAUCCGGAUUUAUUGGGUUUAAAGGGUGCGCAGGCGGAAGGGCAAGUCAGCGGUAAAAUUUCGGGGCUCAACCCCGUCGUGCCGUUGAAACUGGGGUUCUUGAGUGAGCGAGAAGUAUGCGGAAUGCGUGGUGUAGCGGUGAAAUGCAUAGAUAUCACGCAGAACUCCGAUUGCGAAGGCAGCAUACCGGCGCUCAACUGACGCUCAUGCACGAAAGCGUGGGUAUCGAACAGGAUUAGAUACCCGAGUAGUC
This 459-nucleotide ribosomal RNA is filed under the name uncultured bacterium. RNAcentral describes it as "partial 16S ribosomal RNA". It matches the Rfam family "Bacterial small subunit ribosomal RNA", at positions 338 to 795 of the family's 1533-position model. The record is from RNAcentral.